CUACGGGAGGCAGCAGUGGGGAAUAUUGGACAAUGGGGGCAACCCUGAUCCAGCAAUGCCGCGUGUGUGAAGAAGGUCUUCGGAUUGUAAAGCACUUUCACUAGGGAAGAUGAUGACGGUACCUAGAGAAGAAGCCCCGGCUAACUUCGUGCCAGCAGCCGCGGUAAUACGAAGGGGGCUAGCGUUGCUCGGAAUGACUGGGCGUAAAGGGCGCGUAGGCUGUUUGUACAGUCAGAUGUGAAAUCCCCGGGCUUAACCUGGGAACUGCAUUUGAUACGUGCAGACUAGAGUCCGAGAGAGGGUUGUGGAAUUCCCAGUGUAGAGGUGAAAUUCGUAGAUAUUGGGAAGAACACCGGUUGCGAAGGCGGCAACCUGGCUCGGAACUGACGCUGANGCGCGAAAGCGUGGGGAGCGAACAGGAUUAGAUACCCUGGUAGUCCACGCUGUAAACGAUGUGUGCUGGAUGUUGGGUGAUUUUAUCAUUCAGUGUCGGAGCUANCGCGUUAAGCACACCGCCUGGGGAGUACGGCCGCAAGGUUGAAACUCAAAGGAAUUGACNGGGGCCCCCACAAACGGUG
RNAcentral lists this ribosomal RNA (578 nucleotides) under Acetobacteraceae bacterium CS2. Its description in RNAcentral is "bacterial SSU rRNA". It matches the Rfam family "Bacterial small subunit ribosomal RNA", at positions 339 to 934 of the family's 1533-position model. Lineage: Bacteria; Pseudomonadati; Pseudomonadota; Alphaproteobacteria; Acetobacterales; Acetobacteraceae. The record is from RNAcentral.